AUGUAUUCUUUUGGCAGACGAUUUUAUCCUAGGUAACCUGCAUUGAAUUAUACAGAAGAUAAACAUUCGGUUCAUUGGUGUCAGUAGUGCAAUUCUGUACUGUUUGAACUACAGGAACUUAACGUAACUUCUUCAGUCUAGGUUGUCACAAACACUAUAAAAUGGAAGAUUUCGCUUUUUUAGCAGUUCACUGCAGCCUGCCAUUCAGUAUUUUUUUUCUGAAUUUACACAAUGCUUUCAGGGAACGUAAAAAAUUGGCUUUUAUAAAACAGAGUAAAGAAAGAUAUGCUCUAAAGCGGAGUUAUCCACUGAGGUAUUUGUAAUGAGGAAAGAGUUUGCAGUGCAGGGAAGUCAUGAGUCAUGGUUAUUGGUCAGUUGUUUGGCACGAUCCAGAAUGUAGGCUUUCCCUCGAACAUCUCUCUUUCUGAAAAGAUCUUCACACACCUCCGUCAAUGUGAGAGUAAUGGGGAUUUUAUUUAUAUUGAUUGCCUCUAUUUCAAACUAUGAACAUCUUUGUUUAAUUCUGAAAAAUGGCCAUAUAAACACUGACUAUCAAGAAUGCGUCAUAGUAAACGCAGGGGGAAGUGGGAAAUAUUGCCAUUGCUCACACUAGAGCUCAAGCCCAGAUUCCACUGUUAGUCAUCAGACAAUAAAAAAGAGACUCUUUCAUACACUUAAGCCCUUCUGGUGCUGCUCACAGUGCAACAUGCUGAACAUUUUAUUUACCAAUAUGUCACCAUGUCCUCUUUGAUUGGAACCAAUAUUAAUUAUACAAAUUCAACACUGAGUCUCUCUAGUGUUACAGAUUUCAUGAAAGCAGGCAUAAUUCACCCACUCAACAAGUCAAAUAUUGUAAUAAUGGCAACAUCUUUGAUUUCCUCUUCAGAUUUUUGUUCCACUGUGUUCAGCUUGUGCUUAUCAGCUCAAUGGCACAUUUUGUGGUUGGAGGAAGGAGAUCUUACUAAUGGGGUGUAUGCGUCAUUUCUCUCACUGAUGGAAAGUAAUUUCUUCAAUGAGCUAAACUUGUUUGGACAUCUCUCAACAUCAUCCCUGUGUGGUAACUUCCACUCACGCACACACGACUUGAUACUUGAUAUAACCACGUACAUUGAGAAAACUCACACCCAGAGACCGCCAACCAUCAAACGACGACUGAUGGUUGAGAACAGCCACAAAAUACCACAGAUAAACAGUUCCUCGAUCUCACUAUAUUAAAGCCUUGUCUUUAGAUUAAACAACAGAAAGUUUAGAGACUAACGUGGUAUAUUCUUGGUCUGGUUCAGUUUACGGCCUGUAAGUGGAGAAAUUAAGUCUUCUUAAUUAAGGGGACUUCUAUUUUGUGCAUAUUUAAAAAUAAAGUUUCCAAUCUGACACCAAAAAGGGUUUUACAGACUUAUGCCAUUAUGGACAACAUUUUGAAGUCCUAUAAAAAACUUUUAAUUCUCUAGUAUUUUGGGAAACCAUUUAUGUACUGGUCAUUUAAAGCAGUGGUUUUAAACUGGUUUCUGCUUUAAAUGUAUUAAUAUGACCAGUAAUUGCAUAGGCCCAGCAGUAUUUCAAAAUUAUUAAUAAGACAUGGGCUGAAUCAUAAAUGGUCUCUUGAAUUUCAAUGGUUUUAUGCUCUUUGCAGCAAAUAAUACACUGUAUAAAACACAUUGUGGUCGACACAAACCAUGUCGAUCCUCACAGAAAUUAAAUACAUAUUUCAUUUAGUCAGAGUUAUAUUUUUUAUUAUGUUGUUUAAAAUGUUUGUGGUUUUUCAAGAUGAGGGUCACCUGUUUUCAACAUGGUCACCUGUCUGUGUUGACAUUUCUCUAAUUCUGCUAACUGUCUACUAUGUGACUGAUGAAUCUGAAAAAACAAAAUGCUGUCGAGUCUGGAUGACAUCAAAAACUAAAAAUUUGCUGUCCUGACUGUGCUUGUGGUUAGCUGCAUUGUAUUUAUUUUUAUUUUUUUUAAGGUUAUUUGCCAAAUCUAAACCACUAAGGAAAGUUUAUUUUUAAAGUGCAGGGAGCUAUUCUAUUCAAGAUUUUGGUCUAUAAUAUUGACAUAAAACAAUGUAACUGUCUUUAUUACGAAAAAUGUAACAUUUUCAAAGGCUUAAUUUCCUUUUAAAAAUCACUGAGUAAUUUAUUUCCAAAAUUUCAACAGUCCACAGGAAAUGCAUAAAGCUGAGUCACUGAAGUUUGCAACAAAUUUUAUUAGUCAAUAUUAGUCAAUGUGAGAUUCAGUUGCUGUUAUCUGCUUUUGAGGCACAUUGACGGAAAAUAGGGUGUGUGUGUGUGUUUUCAAACGCUUUCCUGGAUAUAACUGCUGUGUGAUUAAAAAACAAAGCAUAUUUUACCAGCUGAACCAACCCUUCACCCCUUGAGUAAACAUGGAGUCUCUUUCCGGACAGCAGUGAGCCAAUCCUUUGGGCAACCUUGACCCCAGACUCCAUUUCAACAGAUUACAGAUGAAGCAAUCACCACACAUGACUGAUGGCCAGUAAUACAAAUGACCACAGGAACAAUGCAUGAGGAAUCGUGUAGGUCACGAUGAACAGUCCAGAAAGGACUAAAUCAGAAUGUCUUUGUAUUUGGUUUGUCCAGCUUUUUCUUUAACAUCACUUGAGAAUGUUAAUGCCAGUUACGUCGGAGCAUCUGUACAAAGUUCACAUGAUCACAUAUAUGAAGCGUAGUGAUAGCUCUGGCAGGCCACGUUAGUCAAGCUCGCAUAAGGAUGACACUAAGCUGAUCCACGGCUACCUAUAGGAUCACGACACCAAUCAUAAUUCCCUUCAUAAGGUCCCUUAAGUCAUUAUUCAGCAGCUAUCGCUCGCUCAUGAACUAAUCACCCACCUCCAUCCCCAGCUCCUCCUCUCGUCCAGUCAGGACUUGGCAGUGAAUAUAUCAUUGAGUCAGACUACUGAAUCAUGUUGUUAAAAUAAUCACGUACUGUAGAACAUUAAUGGUAUCUGCUACAUUUAUCAUUGAUGUUGGUUCUGUUCUGUCACCCUGAGGGGGAGGGGAGAGGGGGUAUGUUCUGCUCUCCCUGCUCCUAUCCAUGCUAGGCUGCGUGGAUGGGCAGGGAGCAUUUGUCCAGAACAGAACCAUUCCCCCAACCAAAAAUGUAUGCUAAUCAUAAGUUAUAUUGAUGAUAGUGGUCCUGACUGAAUUACAGUUGCAAGAAAAAGUUUGUAAACCCUAUGGAAUUAAUUGCAAUUCUUAGCUAAUUACUCCUAAAAUGUGGCCUGGUCUACACCUAAUUCGCACUUGUAGACAAACACAAUCUGAUUGAACUUAUAAGACCAAAGUAUAAAAUUUGUGUUUGGGAUAUUAAGUAAUUAUUUACAGUAAAGGCUGAUAAAAGUAAGGGAAUCUGCAUGGUAAUGACUUUUCCAAAGGGUAAUUUUGUCAGGUGGUCUAGAAAUUAUGUAGUUUUAAAAUGUAUUUUGUCUUUAUUUCUUAGUUUUAAUUUGUUUUAAAUCCUGGAACUUUGUUUAUUUCCAGAUUUAAAUACAAAUAAACUUUGAUUAUUAUUAUGGUCUCUGAUUUGCAGACUUUUGCACUGCAGUUAGCUAUUAAGUUUUUUGUACAAUAGCAGUGUCUCUUAACUUUACUGGGUUGUGACCUGUUUACAGACCUUUGUGCCAUAGCCGUAUUGUAUUUGAACUUGCUUUAUCUUUUUGAAAAUCCUUCCUGUAUAGUACAAAUGAAAUAUAAUUAGUCUUCCUGUUUACCGCUGCAGAUUUAAAUAGCAUGAAGAUAUGAAUGUACUUUGUUUUGACAAUUUUACACAUGUAUGCAUACGCACAAACAUGUCUAUAUGCAUUUCACAAAUCAAAAGUCAAAGUGGGACUAGUAACAAAAGGGUAUUUGUGAGUUUUUAUCUCACAGUUCUGACUUUUUUCUUGCAAUUGUGAGUUUAUAUCAAUUUCAAGUUUAUAUUAAUUUUAACAAUUGCAAGAAAAGCCAGAUUUUUUUUUUUUUUUUCUGUGACAGAAACCUCCAAUGGUUAACGUUUGAGUCAGGAUGAGUGCUAAUGAUGGAAACGAGUGGCGUGAGAGGGCACAUCUGUUCCUAAGAGUGACUCACAUCUCUCUCUCGUCUGUCUCAUAGCCUGUGUGAGCUGUCCUGGAAAUCAAAAGUUCCUUAAUCCAUGAGAACUAAAGGAAGACGGCGUCCACAGCGGAUUUCGUCCAUUUUGUGUUCCUUUCUGUCUUUUGUUUGUCUGUGUGUGCGUAUUUAUACUUACCGUAAAACUCCAACUGUCAAAGGUUUAUCAUUAAUUCUGUGAGUCUCAGUGGGUGGUCUGCUACAAUUUCCCACAUUUACAGUACGUUUCUGUGGUUUCUUUCUUUCUGGUGGUUUAGAUAUGAUCUCCACAAACCAGUGUCUCUCAUUGAAACUUCAGUGAAGCCCAAAGCUCUGUCUGGGACUUCUGGACCACAUGUGUGAGAAUGAGUCAUAGAAAACCUUAACAUUUGCCAUUGUUAACAUCAUCACUAUUAAAACCCUCCUGCUCCCCUUCUCUUUUUUUCUGUAUUUUUCUCUUCAGGUGAUUAUUCAACAUCUUUCCUUUCCUGACCUUGUUGUGAGUCCUCAGCUCCACUCUGAACUGGGGUCAAAAAACUUGAAGCCAAUCAUCAAAUAAAUGACGUAAUAUAUUUUCUCCUGACUUACUGAUGAUAAUUUUUAAAAAGCCCUGGAGGAUUGAAGAGUGUACGCUUAGUAACAAUGGUCUGUCCUGAUUUUUUACUUAAACUGUUUAUAAUAAUCUAUAUUCUUUCUUAAUUUGAACAUGCAGCCAUUGUGUCUCAGCAUAAAUUACUGAAAAACAAACUGAACUGAAAAACUAAAAAUUUUAAGGCCAUUAUAAUUUUGACAGUGACCCUGUUCACUUUGUACAGAUUUUACAACUUUGCAUUAUAAUGGAAAUUAUUGCAUUUAGCUUUAUUGCAAAAUAAUAAAAACUAUCAAUAAUCUAAGAGCUUUGGACUAUAAUAUGUGCUUUAUCACAGUUAGAAAUGAUUGAAAUAAACUUUGGCCAAGCAUUUUUAUCUAACACAUUAUUUAUUCAGCCAUUUGUGUGUGUUUUUAUGACAUCAUCUCUAUUAAUUCUAACAACCUAAAGAGGAAUUUAGAGUUUUGCUCUCAAAAAUCUGAUAUGUGCUCCUUAGAGCUUGUAUAUGUUGCAACUUACAUCCUAACAUGCUGCAAUGCAGUUAUUUUCCAGCAAUUCGUUUUUCGGGGAAACGUUGUGCCAUGUGUGAUUCUGAAAGAAAAUGUUAAGUAAACAAAGCGAUUUGCUUGCUCAUUUGUUACUGUGUGUUAAGAAAUCUCAGCCUACAUGAAAUAUAAUUCAUUUGUCCGUGUGGCCCCAGCACUGCCAUUGCCAUGGAAACAGCUGUGUUGUUUUGGAACGUUUGCAUAUGUUCCCGGAUAAGUGGACUCAGUGCUGUAAGAUCAAUGUUUUUAAAAGAAUGGAGCAGCUGUUAUUGGCUGCCCCCGCUGUGGCGUCACAGAGAAAAUGCAGCACUUCCGAGCUCCUGGCCUGUUACAAUCAUCACUGCUCCUUGUGGAAUUUGGCCUAUAUUUUUAUGCAGAGAGUAUUAUGCUUAUUUAGUUUAAUCUGUCUGAAUUUAUGUGUGAGGAAAGUAUAGAGAAUGCUGGCUUUCUGUGGUUGUGCCGAGAUGUUUGACCUACAAAGUCUCAUUAAAAUGGUGUGAUUGUGGUGUUGUGUUAGUGACUAUUUUUGACUAUUGCAGCUACACCCUUUACUAACAGGUGCAUAAAAUCAAGCAUGCAGCCAUGCAGUCUCCUUAGACAAACAUUUACAGUAGAAUGGGGCACUUUUUGUUCCAGUAUGAAACAAAGUCCAUAAAGAAAUGGUUUACUGAGUGUGGUAUGGAAGAAUUUGAC
Cyprinus carpio carpio is the source of this 5903-nucleotide long non-coding RNA. The record is from Ensembl. Lineage: Eukaryota; Metazoa; Chordata; Actinopteri; Cypriniformes; Cyprinidae.